This 1187-nucleotide long non-coding RNA is filed under the name Gossypium raimondii (Peruvian cotton). RNAcentral describes it as "long non-coding RNA (GRAI_LNC007171)". Lineage: Eukaryota; Viridiplantae; Streptophyta; Magnoliopsida; Malvales; Malvaceae. The record is from RNAcentral.
UUCUUUUUUAUUUUGUCAAAAUUGCAAUUUAAUUCUCAAACUUUUUAAAAAAUUUUAUUUGGCCCCUUUCUCGUGUUUUCACUUCUAAUUCUUUCUAUAAAUUCACAUAUCUAAAAUCACUUUAUUUUCAAAAUAUUCCUUUUUUUUUACUUAUUUACCAGAUUUUCAUGUAAAUUAACUUAUUCAAUACCGACAUUGCACCACGUGUCCAAUAAAAAAUUUGGGAUGUUGCAUGACAAAUAGCCUUAAUUGAUAUUUUAAAAAAUAAAAAUAUAUAUGAGACACAUGGAGAUCUUUUAUUCAUCCGUGUAUUAAAGGAUAAUUCAUAUAAUUUUAUGCGCUAUUAGUGAACUAAAUAAUAGUGCAUUAUCUUAAAUGAAUAUUAGUGGAUUUACUUUUAAAAUUUUAAGAUGAUGUGUAUCAAAUAUUGUUAUAUAGUUACACCUUGUACAAGCCCAAAUAUGCCCGGGCCCAAACCCAAUAAAACUUGGGCCAUGUUAAACCCAAUUACAGGGCCCAAUUGGCCUAAAACAGCAGAAACCCUAGCAGCUAGCAGCAAAAUCAGCAGCCAUACCCCACACACGUCGCAAUAACCGUCGCACGUUCUCCUUCCACGCCGUGCACAAUGCCCGUACCUGCAACAAAAAGAACCACGAGCAGCAAGCAAGAGAAAAAACCAAAAAUAUAGCAUUUUGUAAAGAUAUUUGGCUAUAAAAAGCCAAUGGAUUUCUGUAAUAUGGGUUAGCAAAAAUUUUGUAUGAAAAUUAACAGGAAAAUAAACGAAAAAACAUUUUUGAAUGUGGGAUUUUGUCUUCUUUCUCAGUUCUUUUAUUAUUGUUUUUUAAUUUACCUUGUUCUUUUCUUUUGCUUCUUUUUAAAAAAAAAAAAGCAACAAAGAUAAACGAAAAAGGAGAAAGAAAGGAGGACUUACCGUCGUGAGAGUCGUCGGAGGGUGUCCUCGCUUCGUCGAAGUCUGAAACGGCAGAGGGGGGGCUGAGUCUGCUGUUGUGUUUUCAAACAAAAAGAAAAGUGACGUAGUUUUGUUUUAAAACAAGUUUUAAAUGGCUUUUUAUGCAAUAUAUUAAAACAGUGCCGUUGAAUGGCUAUGGAUCUGGGUGUCUUGGCCCUUGAUGGGAAAUUUGCGCGUUGAGUCCUCAGUUUUUAUGAAGUUUGUUUAAUUAUUUUUU